This is a microRNA precursor of Bos grunniens (domestic yak), 75 nucleotides long. The record is from Ensembl. Lineage: Eukaryota; Metazoa; Chordata; Mammalia; Artiodactyla; Bovidae.
GGGUACUCUCAAAACUUGUUUGGAUAGAAAACUCUUGGGGGUUUUGUUUGGGUUUUUUUCAAGGUGCAGUGACCU